GGAUGUGAGGGUGAUCUGGCUGUGACAUCUGUCACCCCAUUGAUCUCGAGGGUUGAUUUGGCCAAUCUGGCUGGCUAGGUGGGUGUCCCCUCACGGCUCCAUGUUUAUCCCUCCCAAAGCUGCGCGCUAGGUCUAAGAGGACAGCCUUCCCCGAAUAGAGAUAGAUUGGUCUUUGGUCGAGGGUAUACGAGUAACUGCGUUCCCCUGCUAGAACCUCCAAACAAGCACUCAAGGUCCAAAUAUCAUGCCAGUAUUGUGAAUAUAAUGCCAACUGCAUGU
Erinaceus europaeus (western European hedgehog) is the source of this 279-nucleotide unclassified non-coding RNA. Its record names the gene 7SK. It matches the Rfam family "7SK RNA". From Rfam's summary of the family: 7SK was discovered as an abundant small nuclear RNA in the mid-70s but a possible function has only recently been suggested. NCBI's taxonomy places the organism in Eukaryota, Metazoa, Chordata, Mammalia, Eulipotyphla, Erinaceidae. The record is from Ensembl.